AGAUUGAACGCUGGCGGCAUGCCUAAUACAUGCAAGUCGAACGGGAGUAGCAAUACUCUAGUGGCGGACGGGUGAGGAAUACGUAGGAAUUUGCCCUUAAGUGGGGGAUAACCCGGGGAAACCCGGAUUAAUACCGCAUGACCUCGAAAGAGCAAAGUGGGGGAUCGCAAGACCUCACGCUUUUGGAGAAGCCUACGUCGGAUUAGCUAGUUGGUGAGGUAAUGGCUCACCGAAGGCGACGAUCCGUAACUGGUCUGAGAGGAUGAUCAGUCACACCGGAACUGAGACACGGUCCGGACUCCGUACGGGAGCAGCAGGUGGGGAAUACGUUGGACAAGUGGGCGCGAACGCCUAGACUCCAGCAAGUCGCCCGGUGCGUUGUAGGAAGGUAACGGUCC
Molecule: ribosomal RNA, 398 nt
Filed under: uncultured soil bacterium
Lineage: Bacteria
Description: bacterial SSU rRNA
Rfam family: Bacterial small subunit ribosomal RNA
Source: RNAcentral